UGGGCAUGCGCAUCGGUCGGGGUGGCGGGAACAGGAAAAGGUGAACCCAGAAAUGCUGAGUCAGGCUACCCAAGGUGGCUGUCGGGAGGGUGGGAAUAAAUGGCGGGAAUAAGCAAAAAUGCCAAGUCAGGGUGGCCAAGAUGGCCACUGGGAUGGCGGGAACCCGCGAAUCUGGGAAUGCCGAGUCAGGGUAGCCAAGACGGUUGCUGGUCGCCAUCUUGGAGUCUUCACCGGAGUCCAAUCAAUUGGUUCAGAGACAACCGUUCCAGUGGCUAUAGGAGGAUUAAAAGAGAACAAAGGAGGAUAUUGGGGCAUCAGCCUCACAGAAGUGGGUCAGGAAAGUCAUACCUUUGCUUGAUCUUAUGCUAGAUGCUCCUCUGAGUUAAGAGAAAACAAAAACAGAGCAAUACUUGUGAAGAAAAACGUGCUUCUCUUGUCUCAUCUUAGCACUGAAUAUGCUAAUGGCCCUUCCGGACACCUACCUCAACAGAAACAAUGCUAACCUGAAUGAAUAGAUCCCAGGACAUUCUUUUCGUAAACCCAGUCCAGCCUACAUUCUUUAUUUCAUGUUUUGCCAAACACCAUUACAUUAGAGGUCAUUAGAAACUUGUCAAUAUAUUUAAAA
This 625-nucleotide long non-coding RNA is filed under the name Homo sapiens (human). RNAcentral's name for it is "HSALNT0034880". Lineage: Eukaryota; Metazoa; Chordata; Mammalia; Primates; Hominidae. The record is from RNAcentral.